UCUCUCCCAGAUCGACGGAAGGGAACGGACUGACCAGCUCUCCGGUCCUCCGGAAGAAUCCAUCCAGAGAAGGCUCUUCCUCUCCUCGCUCUCAGCCGCGCUCGCCUCUCUGCAAAAGCCCCACUCAGGAGAAAGUGAGAUCUCCGUCUCCUUCAGCGUCCCAUGAAUCACUCUCUCCUGGCUCUCCAGCACCUCCCCGCCCUCUCUCGUCCUCCGCCCGCGGCCCGUCUCCCGCUCUCAAACACUAGGACCCACUCCAGCCCAUGGAGUGAGACUAGUGAAAGACCGCCGCUACCCCUCCCCAGCCCGCCCUUCCCAGAAUGCACGGGGCC
This is a long non-coding RNA of Sinocyclocheilus grahami, 332 nucleotides long. RefSeq lists it as uncharacterized. The transcript is spliced from 3 exons. The record is from RefSeq and is a predicted model, not a curated record. NCBI's taxonomy places the organism in Eukaryota, Metazoa, Chordata, Actinopteri, Cypriniformes, Cyprinidae.